RNAcentral lists this ribosomal RNA (494 nucleotides) under uncultured bacterium. RNAcentral describes it as "partial 16S ribosomal RNA". It matches the Rfam family "Bacterial small subunit ribosomal RNA", at positions 28 to 507 of the family's 1533-position model. The record is from RNAcentral.
GACGAACGCUGGCGGCGUGCUUAACACAUGCAAGUCGAACGGAAAGGCCUGCUUUCCCUUGUGGAUUGCGGGUACUCGAGUGGCGAACGGGUGAGUAACACGUGAGUGAUCUGCCCCCAACUUGGGUAUAAGCCUGGGAAACUGGGUCUAAUUCCCGAUAGGACUGCAGGGUGGUGCCUGUGGUGGAAAACGAUUUUCUAGUGGUUGGGGAUGAGCUCGCGGCCUAUCAGCUUGUUGGUGGGGCAAUGGCCUACCAAGGCGGCGACGGGUAGCCGGCCUGAGAGGGUGGACGGCCACAUUGGGACUGAGAUACGGCCCAGACUCCUACGGGAGGCAGCAGUGGGGAAUAUUACACAAUGGGCGGAAGCCUGAUGCAGCGACGCCGCGUGGGGGAUGACGGCCUUCGGGUUGUAAACUCCUUUCGACCGCGAGGAAGCCACCUGGUUGGAAGGGUGGUGACGGUAGUGGUAGAAGAAGCACCGGCUAACUACGUG